Molecule: long non-coding RNA, 762 nt
Filed under: Triticum aestivum (bread wheat)
Lineage: Eukaryota; Viridiplantae; Streptophyta; Magnoliopsida; Poales; Poaceae
Description: long non-coding RNA (TAES_LNC016912)
Source: RNAcentral
CGGCCGUUUAUUAUUUUCAGAAUGAUGCUGCAUAUUUGAACAAGUAUUCUGUCUACAUGCUGAAGAAUGCUAUUGCUUAUAUGUGAGUUCUAAUUCUCGAUCUUAUAUUACACAAGCAGCAUCCUUGAGCUUAUGCAUGUUUUCCUAUUCUAUAUCAUUAUUAUGAUUUUGCUCUUGCUUGUGGUAUCAAUCUCUUGACCUUUGACCAGUUGUUUGUUUAUAAUGGAAUACUAAAAAUUACAAGGAAAUAUGUCUUUCUGGGAUAGUCAGUCAUUUAAUUCUUUUGCAACAAAUAUUAUGUUUUCCAUCAAAUAUUGCCAAUUAUUUAUAUGCAAGUUUAGUAACCUCCUGCCCUCUUCCAGUUCUGUUAACUAUUCUUUUUCUUAUUUACAUGAAACAGAAUUACCCUGUGAUGAAAGGGCUUCAGAUGGCUGUCACGGCAAUUGCAUCCUCAAGGACGAGUGCCGACAUGGUGCUGCAUACUUUUGCUGCAGAAGAAGUGGUUUUCUUGUUCUCCGGUUGGAGUUCUGUACAAGUUCUUUUAUAUCACAAUUGCCUAUCAUUCGUCUUUCCUUAUGCUAGCUGGGAAGGAGGUUUUUUUCCUCCGGACAUUUUGAUUCUCUUUGAAACAUCUUGUCAAACUAUCUUAUCAGUUUCAUGCAUCCGGAAACUUGGGGUCUGGGGAUCCUUAAUUAGUUGAUAGUAACAAGAUCUGUUCCUUUUGGCCAACAUGUUAUAAGAAACUUACCGCAGUAACUCGUA